CUCAGAAGUGAAUGAGAGCCAGCUGCAGUCUGCACAACAAGGUUCACAAUGUCAAGAACAGACAUCAAAUGGAAAAGAUACAUUAAGUUCAGUUGAUCAUGUUCUUAGGAUGGUUCAAAAUGUAAAGAGAAAAGAGAAGACAG
This is a long non-coding RNA of Saccostrea echinata, 143 nucleotides long. RefSeq lists it as uncharacterized. The record is from RefSeq and is a predicted model, not a curated record. NCBI's taxonomy places the organism in Eukaryota, Metazoa, Mollusca, Bivalvia, Ostreida, Ostreidae. The transcript is spliced from 3 exons.